This 1237-nucleotide long non-coding RNA is filed under the name Papio anubis (olive baboon). RNAcentral's name for it is "lncRNA (ENSPANG00000037252.1)". Lineage: Eukaryota; Metazoa; Chordata; Mammalia; Primates; Cercopithecidae. The record is from RNAcentral.
UUGGCCUCCUCUCUAUUCUAGCCACUACUAGUGUAAACUGUUCUGCCCAAGUUCCUACCAGUUUUAGCCUUGAUGGCACCUCAGUUAAGUGUGUGCUGCUUUCUGUCCCAGUGUGCCUGCAGGAGCCUACUCAACACUCACACACAGAGACUAAAACAACUUUACCAGAUUGAAACACUCAAGACAAAGGAGCCCAGGAAGCAAAAUUCAUCAGAAAACUAGAGGAAGUUUUCAUGGAGUUGCUAUGAGUUAGAAACUUUUAAUGAAUCCGGUUGUAUUGUUUACCAAGUUAAGAUCCUCUCAGAUGUCAGGAGAUAGAUGUGUAGAUGUCAGCUUAUAAAAUACAACUUUGGUGUGAUAGCAGAAAUAUAAGAGGCUUGAAUCCCUCCAUGCCAAGAGAUAAUGAAGGAGGCCUGAGAUAAGUUGGAAGAAAAACUGGCUACCAAGAGGGAUAGCAUUUUUUUUUGUUGUUAAAUCAAAUAUUUAUGAGACUGGGCUUUGAUUUCCCCAUGGUUUAACAAUUCAAGGGAAAGAUAAUUUUUGAGAGAUACUUAAGGUAUUGGAGUAAUUCAGAUAACUGUACCUUGUAUGAGGUGCAGGACAGCAACAUGGCACAAGUAUACCUAUGUAACAAACGUGCACGUUAUGCACAUGUACCCUAGAACUUAAAGUAUAAUAAUAAAAAAAAAAAGAAAAUAAUUAAUCACUAGAGUUUGGAAUGCAUACAAAUUGUGGUGGGAAUAGAAUAAAUUUUGCAAUGUUAAUACUUGAUGAUGUAACAUGUUCAAAUGAUUAGAAUAUGUCCUGGUGUCAUAGACAUGAUUCUAUCGAUUGUCAAUACAGAACAUUUGGUUUUGAUUUUGGAUUUUACUAAUGUUUGUUAAAUGCCUAUCAUGUGUUGGACGCUUUUAUAUUGGUUUUAAAACUUUUAAUGAUUACUAAAUCCAUUAAAUAUAUAUUAUUUCAUAUUUUAGAGAAGAAAACUGAUAUUCAGAUAAGUUAAAUGGUGCUCAAAGACACAGAGUUAGUAAGGUAAAAGUUGGACUUGAUACUCAGGUCUGUAUGUUUGUAUGACAUCAAAAUUCAUUAUCUUUUCCUGAUAUAAUGGUUUUUUUGGAGACAAGGUCUUACUCUGUCUGUCAUCCAGGCUGGAGUGCAGUGGUGCAGUCUCAGCUCACUGCAGCCUCCACAUACAGGGCUCAAGUGAUCUUCCCACUUCAGCCUCCUGAGUAGCUGG